RNAcentral lists this ribosomal RNA (408 nucleotides) under Fusobacteriota bacterium. RNAcentral describes it as "Fusobacteria bacterium partial 16S ribosomal RNA". It matches the Rfam family "Bacterial small subunit ribosomal RNA", at positions 355 to 776 of the family's 1533-position model. Lineage: Bacteria; Fusobacteriati; Fusobacteriota. The record is from RNAcentral.
UGGGGAAUAUUGCACAAUGGACGGAAGUCUGAUGCAGCAACGCCGCGUGCGGGAUGACGGCCUUCGGGUUGUAAACCGCUUUUUCUCAUGACGAAGUUUUUUGACGGUAGUGGGGGAAGAAGCACCGGCUAACUACGUGCCAGCGGCCGCGGUGAUACGUAGGGUGCGAGCGUUGUCCGGAAUUAUUGGGCGUAAAGAGCUUGUAGGCGGUUUGUCGCGUCGAUAGUGCAAACUCAGUGCUUAACGCUGAGCCUGCUGUUGAUACGGGCAGACUAGAGGAAGGUAGGGGAGAAUGGAAUUCCCGGUGGAGCGGUGGAAUGCGCAGAUAUCGGGAGGAACACCGGUGGCGAAGGCGGUUCUCUGGGCCUUUCCUGACGCUGAGAAGCGAAAGCGUGGGGAGCGAACAGG